AUUGAACGCUGGCGGCAGGCCUAACACAUGCAAGUCGAACGGUAGCACAGAGAGCUUGCUCUCGGGUGACGAGUGGCGGACGGGUGAGUAAUGUCUGGGGAUCUGCCCGAUAGAGGGGGAUAACCACUGGAAACGGUGGCUAAUACCGCAUAACGUCGCGAGACCUAAGAGGGGGACCUUCGGGCCUCUCACUAUCGGACGAACUCAGAUGGGGUUAGCUAGUAGGCGGGGUAAUGGCCCACCUAGGCGACGAUCCCUAGCUGGUCUGAGAGGAUGACCAGCCACACUGGAACUGAGACACGGUCCAGACUCCUACGGGAGGCAGCAGAGGGAAAUAUUGCACAAUGGGCGCAAGCCUGAUGCAGCCAUGCCGCGUGUAUGAAGAAGGCCUUCGGGUUGUAAAGUACUUUCAGCGGGGAGGAAGGCGAUGUGGUUAAUAACCUUGUCGAUUGACGUUACCCGCAGAAGAAGCACCGGCUAACUCCGUGCCAGCAGCCGCUGUAA
Molecule: ribosomal RNA, 504 nt
Filed under: uncultured bacterium
Lineage: Bacteria
Description: partial 16S ribosomal RNA
Rfam family: Bacterial small subunit ribosomal RNA
Source: RNAcentral